CUGGGGCCCUCUGGGAGGGCACAGGUGGCAGAAGGAAGCAGGCCUGUGAAUGUGAAUGCGCAUUUGCGUUUCUGAGGCCUUGCUGAUCCCUCGCUUUCCUUUCUACCGUGAGUUGGCCCAUCCUUGUGGUUUUAGAGCCAGAGCGAGGAAAGUCUGGGUGAGGGGUGCGGCCGGGAAUGGGGCUCCGGUCCCCCCCUCCCACCGUCUCUUGGGUUCGCCCCCACCCCGGAGCAGCACGUGCACGUGUGUCGGAGCCCGGCCUGGGCGACUUGGGGGAAGCGCGAGAACUCAACGGCUGAGAAAUGUUCUCUCACGUCUGCACGCUGCGAGGAGAGUUAUGUUCCCCCCAUGAAUCGUGGGCAUCCGUUCCGGGGAGCUCUGACUGCUCAGGAGAAGGGGUGUGUCCUCAGUGCCUAGAACAGUAUCUGGCACAGAGCACCUGCUCUGUGAACAUCUGUUCACGAACGCCCCAAGCUUGCUGGGAUCCAGGACUCCUCCAUCAUUACAUCCUUGAUGAGAAUGUCCGAAGAAAGAAUCGUGGAGCCAGUGAUCAGAGACUUCCUGCAGGCUGACAUUGACUCAUUUACCAGCACCCCUUGAACUGGGUCAUUUGAUUAUAGAUCUACUGAAUCACCCAGUCCCUCAGCCCUGACAUGUAAGCUCCCAGAGGAAAGGAGGUUUGGGACCUGCUGGCUUCUGAAGUAGAGGUGAUCCAGCCCUGAGACCAUGGGGUGGACGACGUGACCUCUCAGACACCUGCCGUGUGUCCUUCCUUCCCCGAGUCCCUUCUGGUUCCUUGAGCCCCGGGCCAGGUGCGGCAGGAGGGCCGCCUGGCAGGACCCGUGCCACUGUGGGAGCCGCGAGCCCGGCCGGUGAGGCAGGGGCAGGGGUCCUGGGAGGAGGGUGGGGAGGAGCCACGAAAGACGCCUUCCCCACUUGCACGUGUCGGCCUCAGCUCUGGAAAUGAAAAGCCUUUUAAUUUCA
Long non-coding RNA from Neofelis nebulosa (Clouded leopard), 984 nucleotides. RefSeq lists it as uncharacterized. The record is from RefSeq and is a predicted model, not a curated record. The transcript has 3 exons. NCBI's taxonomy places the organism in Eukaryota, Metazoa, Chordata, Mammalia, Carnivora, Felidae.